GGCCGGUUAGCAUAGCGGUAGUGCAACCCGAGGCUGUGGGCUUGCCCACAGCCUUCCGACGAAAGCCGAUACUUGUCGGUUUCCGUCGGGAAGGCGGAGGUUCAAAUCCUCUACCGGCCACCA
This 123-nucleotide transfer RNA is filed under the name Oxalobacteraceae sp. CFBP 13730. Its description in RNAcentral is "tRNA-OTHER". It matches the Rfam family "tRNA". Rfam says of the family: Transfer RNA (tRNA) molecules are approximately 80 nucleotides in length. Their secondary structure includes four short double-helical elements and three loops (D, anti-codon, and T loops). The record is from RNAcentral. Lineage: Bacteria; Pseudomonadati; Pseudomonadota; Betaproteobacteria; Burkholderiales; Oxalobacteraceae.